CCUACGGGUGGCAGCAGUCGAGAAUCAUUCACAAUGGGGGAAACCCUGCUGGUGCGACGCCGCGUGGGUGAAUGAAGAUCUUCGGAUUGUAAACCCCUGUCAUGUGGGAGCAAAUUAAAAAGAUAGUACCACAAGAGGAAGAGCCGGCUAACUCUGUGCCAGCAGCCGCGGUAAUACGGAGGUCUCAAGCGUUGUUCGGAAUCACUGGGCGUAAGGGGUGCGUAGGCUGUUUCGUAAGUCGUGUGUGAAAGGCGCGGGCUCAACCCGCGGACGGCACAUGAUACUGAGAGCCUAGAGUAAUGGAGGGGUAAACGGAAUUCCCGGUGUAGCAGGGAAAUGCGUAGAUAUCGAGAGGAACACGAGUGGCGAAGGCGGGUUCCUGGACAUUAACUGACGCUGAGGCACGAAGGCCAGGGGAGCGAAAGGGAUUAGAUACCCCAGUAGUC
This 446-nucleotide ribosomal RNA is filed under the name uncultured bacterium. RNAcentral describes it as "partial 16S ribosomal RNA". It matches the Rfam family "Bacterial small subunit ribosomal RNA", at positions 338 to 795 of the family's 1533-position model. The record is from RNAcentral.